GUUUUAAUUGCUAGGCAUGACAGAAUGGAUUGAUAACUGGAAAGAAAAUGGAUGGAAAACAGCCUCCGGAAGGAAUGUUGUCAACAGAGCAGAUUUUGAGAGGAUUGAUCAAGCUUCCCAAGGAAUGGAUAUUCAGUGGAAGUAUGUUCCUUCUCAUUCCGGCAUCAGAGGCAAUGAAGAUGCUGAUAGACUGGCCACAGAAGGAUCUAGAAAAUAAGAACUUUCCUCAUAGGAGUUACUGUCCUCUUGGAGAGCUGUAUCUGCUGACACCCAUUUCCAAAACCAUCCUGCCAUGAGCAUCUCUAUGUGUAGAACUUGUCUUCUCACCUUUACUUGUUUCUACCUUUUUCUGUUGCUGAUAGUACCAACCUCUUUGUCAAGUACAGUGUAAUAAAAGCAAACUUCCUGCUCAAAAAA
This is a long non-coding RNA of Choloepus didactylus (southern two-toed sloth), 417 nucleotides long. RefSeq lists it as uncharacterized. The transcript has 3 exons. Lineage: Eukaryota; Metazoa; Chordata; Mammalia; Pilosa; Megalonychidae. The record is from RefSeq and is a predicted model, not a curated record.